Molecule: non-coding RNA, 46 nt
Filed under: Trichobilharzia regenti
Lineage: Eukaryota; Metazoa; Platyhelminthes; Trematoda; Strigeidida; Schistosomatidae
Source: RNAcentral
GUAACGAUGAAGAGUCCCAAACCAGGACGAAACAGCUGUCCAGUAC